AAUUGUCGAUGCGACACAGUCUUGAUCUGACGUUUGUUCUUAAAAGACAAAGAAGUGUUAACAGUUAUUUUAUGUGUUAAAUACGUAUCUAUCGUAUAUUGGACAUCGAACGGUUUCAUCGAACAAAAUUGACUUCUACCAGGAAUUCUACUAGGAAUUUAAAUAUUAUACGUAAUAUUUAAGAACCAUUUGAUAAUAUAAUAUAUUCUGGACGUCGUUGAACAUCUGGACAUUGAAGAAAUACAAUACUUACAAUUAUACAGGUACGAUGACAGAAACAUACGAAGAAAAUAGGCCACAUAGAGAGAUGGACCAUGUCAUUUAUCAUUGCCGAACAACAUGUGAAACAAAAGUAAUCACCUAUACAUGGACUAUUUCUAAUUUUUGGGAUGUAUGUAAAUUUUCUAACUCUUUAACAUCCAGUAACAUUGAAACGCUGCCUCUUAAAAUUCUCAUGAAAAUUAGUAAGUGCAAUAAUGAAUUAAAGUUCUUUAUUAUCAACGAUUGUAAAAUUGCGAUUGGCAUUUAUGAAUAUAAAAUUUUCAUAUAUCAACAAAAUGAUAAUGGUAUGGUAUUUAAUUCCAUGGGAAUAAUUGAAAAACAUGAGCAAUUUAAUUCAAGAAUUCCUUUGUGUACUCUGUACAUCAGUUAUCUUCAGAAAAAUGAAAAUUUGAUUUUAUACAAUAAUACGCUUACGGUACAAUUUAUAUUCAAAAGACCUAAAAUAUUACAUAACUUUAUAUGCUAUAAUACAUUAGAAAUGUUAAUGGAAGAAGAUAUAAAUGAGUUCUCACUUAAUAAUGAAAGCGAUUCGUUCGUUACAUUUAUAAUAGGUGACAAUCGUAUUUGCGCAAAUAAAUCAUUAUUAUAUACUAAUAGCGAAGUCUUUAAAACUAUGCUCAGCAGUGAUGAUAUAGAAAAAAA
This is a long non-coding RNA of Pogonomyrmex barbatus (red harvester ant), 924 nucleotides long. The record is from RefSeq and is a predicted model, not a curated record. Lineage: Eukaryota; Metazoa; Arthropoda; Insecta; Hymenoptera; Formicidae.